CGCGAAUGGCUCAUUACAACAGUUAUGGUUCCUUAGAUCGCACUUACUACUUGGAUAACUGUGGUAAUUCUAGAGCUAAUACAUGCGUUGGACUCUGACCCUUGUGGAAAGAGUGCUUUUAUUAGAUCAAAGCCAAUCGGGUCUUCGGGCUCGUACUUUUGGUGACUCUGAAUAACAUUGCUGAUCGCACGGUCUUGUACCGGCGACGUAUCUUUCAAGUGUCUGCCUUAUCAACUGUCGAUGGUAGGUUAUGCGCCUACCAUGGUUGUAACGGGUAACGGGGAAUCAGGGUUCGAUUCCGGAGAGGGAGCCUGAGAAACGGCUACCACAUCCAAGGAAGGCAGCAGGC
This 349-nucleotide ribosomal RNA is filed under the name uncultured eukaryote. Its description in RNAcentral is "SSU rRNA". It matches the Rfam family "Eukaryotic small subunit ribosomal RNA", at positions 88 to 433 of the family's 1831-position model. The record is from RNAcentral.